This 573-nucleotide unclassified non-coding RNA is filed under the name Hevea brasiliensis (rubber tree). The record is from RNAcentral. Lineage: Eukaryota; Viridiplantae; Streptophyta; Magnoliopsida; Malpighiales; Euphorbiaceae.
ACCAAGACAACUAAAAAGCAUCUAAGAAAAAUGUGAGAAAUAGUUAAAUUCGUUAUACUAAAAAGAGGGGAGGGCAGGCCCUCAGUUACAACCAUCAGUUAAAAAGAAAGGAAGAGAAAUCCUAAAUGAAAUACCACAUUAUAAGAUUUCUGUGACACCAAACACCAUUAAAAAAAUCCACCACCGCAAAUAAGUAUGUAUUCAGGAAAAUAACCGUUACUUGGUGCAUAAAGAUGACAUAAUGCUAGUGACUAAAAUGGUCAGAAAACAGCUUCGAUAAAAUUAGAGCAGAAUAGGAAUAUUUAACACAAAUCAAUCAAAUGCAUCAAUGCAAUAACAAAAGCUUUUGCCUUUGUAGCAAAGUCACAGCAAUUCAUAAACACAACAUUAUAUAGAUGGUAAUUUAUUUAGUUUGUCUUUUAUUGGCAAAGAAGAGAUGAAACUAGAGUCAUUGCUGGAUUCAAAUUUUAUCAUAAAAUUAAAUUCUAAAUAAAAUGUCCAAUGCCAAUGAUAAAAUAACACGAUCUCGAAUGCUUUUGAGAAUGUCUAGGUAAUGCUGUGGAAAAGAAAAUG